Long non-coding RNA from Cyanistes caeruleus (blue tit), 1217 nucleotides. Lineage: Eukaryota; Metazoa; Chordata; Aves; Passeriformes; Paridae. The record is from Ensembl.
AUUUUGAGCUGUACCUUUGAAUUCACUAAGGUCAGUGAAGAAGAGGUGCUCCGGGUGCCAGAGCAGAGAAUCCCCUGCAGCCCGUGGAGAGCAAAAUGGGUGCUGCAGGUUGUCUCCCUGCAGCCCAUGGCAGGCAACAGCACAGCUGAUACUGCAGCCUGUGGAGGACCCUACACUGCAGCGGGCAGACACACCCUAAAGGAAAAUGCAGCCCACGGAGAGGACCCCACACAAAAGUGGGAAACAAAUCUGAAAACUUUUUAAAACAGAGAUAUUCUGUUGGAUCAUGGGAAAAAGUUAAAACAAGCUGGUUGAAAGGUAGGGUGAUAACAGUUUGGCUUUCAAAGCAGUUGCCAUGAGGGAAGACACUCCAAAUAAAUGGUUUAGAAAUCUGAAUGGACAGCAGCACAUGCCAGGAGGAGCAGCUCUACAAAGAAAAUUGCUGCCUUUUCCCUGGGGAGACAUGAAACAGGACAUUCAGUUAAACAGAUGGUUGUUGCCUCUGAAUUAUUUAACAGCUAAAUCAAUGAGAAGCUUCUGCUGCCAUGAGGGGAAAGAGUGUGCUGGAAGCAUUCCUUCUCCUCCACCGUCUCCUGUUAGAAGUGGCCAAGAAGAGUCUGCUAUUGGCAGCAUAAAAGCCUGAAGGGGUGGAAGAGGAGGCUGCAAAAGUGAAACCUGGAUUCUAGAGUUAUCAAAGGAGAGCUUUCUUACUUAAGAAAUAUGUUAAUCCUCUUCAAAUGGUACUGCAUCCAGUUUGAUGCACAUCUAUAGUUACUAGAUGGGUUUAAUGGAAAAGGGCUGUUUAAAAAAAAAAAAAAAAAGGAAAAAGAGAAAAGAGUAACAACAAAAACAAAAGACACCACAACCAAACAAACAAAAAACUAAGAAUACAAACAAAAAAACAACCCCAAACCCUCUCAAAUUCCCAAAAGACAAAAAGGCUAGGUAGCCUGUACUCUAUAGUCUUAUAAGUUUGCAUUAUACAUAAGAUAUAUCUCAUUUAUAAAACACUGUGGGGCCACAGACUAAUUCCUUUGAGUAUGCACUCAACACUGGCCAUAUCUCAGGAAAAACACUGUAAGGCCAAAUUUCUCCAUGUUAUUUUGAGAUGCAGGUGUAUAAUCCAUUGCAAUGCCUAAUUAUUGUCCUACUACAAGAAGGAACCUUUCCGACAAUGCCAUCAGAUUUAUAAAAGCCUAAUAUUUCUUUGAAAAAAU